AGUGAACGCUGGCGGUAGGCCUAACACAUGCAAGUCGAACGGCAGCACAGUAAGAGCUUGCUCUUACGGGUGGCGAGUGGCGGACGGGUGAGGAAUACAUCGGAAUCUACUUUUUCGUGGGGGAUAACGUAGGGAAACUUACGCUAAUACCGCAUACGACCUACGGGUGAAGGCAGGGGAUCUUCGGACCUUGCGCGAUUGAAUGAGCCGAUGUCGGAUUAGCUAGUUGGCGGGGUAAAGGCCCACCAAGGCGACGAUCCGUAGCUGGUCUGAGAGGAUGAUCAGCCACACUGGAACUGAGACACGGUCCAGACUCCUACGGGAGGCAGCAGUGGGGAAUAUUGGACAAGGGGCGCAAGCCUGAUCCAGCCAUACCGCGUGGGUGAAGAAGGCCUUCGGGUUGUAAAGCCCUUUUGUUGGGAAAGAAAAGCAGCAGGUUAAUACCCCGCUGUUCUGACGGUACCCAAAGAAUAAGCACCGGCUAACUUCGUG
This 492-nucleotide ribosomal RNA is filed under the name uncultured bacterium. RNAcentral describes it as "partial 16S ribosomal RNA". It matches the Rfam family "Bacterial small subunit ribosomal RNA", at positions 29 to 507 of the family's 1533-position model. The record is from RNAcentral.